Long non-coding RNA from Panthera uncia (snow leopard), 6697 nucleotides. RefSeq lists it as uncharacterized. The record is from RefSeq and is a predicted model, not a curated record. The transcript is spliced from 2 exons. NCBI's taxonomy places the organism in Eukaryota, Metazoa, Chordata, Mammalia, Carnivora, Felidae.
CUUUCCAGAUCAGUUUGAACGCGACAGCGAACCCAAUUCCGGUCUGUAAAUCCCAAUUGCGGGCCAAGGCGCCGGAACCAAAGCGUGGCCGCUUCCAUUUCCGGGCGGAGGCGCCAGUUUGUGGCGAGGGAUCGAUUGCUUUUGCCUGGCGGGGGUCGGGCCAGAGAGGACGGCGAGCUCGGCGGCUGCGGGCCAGCCUGGCGGUGUACGGCGUCCUCGUCGCGGGGGAGCCCGAGCUGCUGAGAUCCGGGAGGCGCGCUGGGCCCGCGUCGGACGGCUCGGUCGUGUUUGCACACGCGCUGGUGCGAGGCCCCUUGUUGGUGAUGGAGGUGGCGAGCAACAACAACAAAAAGGAGUUCUUUAUGGCAAAUUCAGACCAUCCUAGGCCUCUUGAGAGUUACUCCUUCCUUUUUGGAAUGAAUGCCCUGUGGGCAGGAUGGCUGAAAACCAGAGGAUAGUCCCUGCAGAGUCCUGUGCUUCUGAAGAAACACUCUUAUUAUGAUAGCUGUAUUGAAGCAGGUGAGAAAUAUAAUAAUUUUUAUUAACAAGUCUAAUCUACUUGAAAGGCACUGACAUAGAGGUUGUUGGGACCCUUGGCUCACAUAGCAGUUUCUGAAGAAAUCCUUUUAUUAUUAUUUAUUUUUAUUUUUAUUUUUUGAAGAAAUCCUUUUGAAAAGCAGUGGAAUUUAAAUUGCUCAGACCAUGGUAAGGGGUAUGGGGACUUUGGAAAAGAAGAAUAUGUGAAACAGAUCAUGGUCUUCUCAAGCAGGGCAUUACAGAGCAAGGAAGAGGAGGGCUGGGGUGGUCACAGUGGAAUCUAUCUUUCUGGGUCCUUUUAGUCAUUUGUAUCAUCUGCUCAGUCUUUGGAAAUGGUAUAAUUCACUUUGGCAUCAGUAAACCUCUACUUUCCAGUUCUACAGGAUUUCUAGCUCAGUGUUUGAAAAGAGAUCGAAUUUCUUGUCAAUUCCUUGACAAAGCCAGGUUUCUCCAAAACGUCAUGCCCUUGUCUUGCCCUCCCUUCCUCAGCUUUCCCCACUCUCUAUUUCCAUCCAUUUCCCUGCGGGUCUUCCUGUUUAGCAGCAGCAAUACUGUAAUACCGGUGCCCAGAAUCCAGUGUUGGUGAGUGAGAUCUGUGAUACAGUCUGCAGUGCCUGGGCCUGUCAGCAGCAACGCCCAUAUCUGCCCUGGACCAUCUGUGGAGCCAGGUUUGUUCUGGCCUCAGAGUGACUGUGGUUGGCUCUCUGACCUUCCCAGAUUGUGCGAGCAGCUUAGAUCACUAAGAAUCUGUUUCACACUUGAAAGCAGUAACCUAGACUGAUAUAAACGUUUAUAAAGCAUCUGCUAGCUGACAGGAUCUGGUGCUGCAGAAAUGACCAAGGAAUUUACAGUGGAGUGGGGGAAAACCGACAACUAAAGAAAUAACUACAGGGCUUCCACAGUCAAUAGUGAUAGACCAGGUAAUUCAGAUCAAACUCUGAGAAAACCAGAAAAUCUAGGUCGAUUUUACAAUAGAAAAUCUACUUGAGGCAUACAAGAUAUAAUAAGAUAAAGGAUUAUCAGGCUGUGAAUGGAGAGAAGAAAGGAAUCCAGAGAGCUGAGUAUGGAAUUUGGUGUUGUUUUUCCCGUGGGAGUAUUUCUGCCAUAGGCUGAAUGUUCGUAUCUCCCCCCCCAAAUUCACGUUGAAACCUAAUCCUCAUGUGAUCAUGGUCUUUGGAGGUGGGGCCUUUGGGAGGUGGUUAGGUCAUGAGGGUGGAGCCCUCAUGAAUGGGAUCAGUGCCCUUAUAAAAGCUCCACAGGGGCGCCUGGGUGGCUCAGUCGGUUAAGCAUCCGACUUUGGCUCAGGUCAUGAUCUCGCAGUUGGUGGGUUCGAGCCCUGGGUUGGGUUCUGUAUGGACAGUUCAGAGCCUGGAGCCUGCUUCAGAUUCUGUGUGUGUGUCUCUCUCUUUCUGUCUCUCUCUGCCCCUCUCCCGCUCAUACUCUGACUCUCUCUCUCUUAUAAAUUAUAAAUAUACGUUAAAAAAAUAAAAAUAAAUAAAAAAUUUAAAAAACAUUAUCUCAGGGUGCCUGGGUGGCUCAGUCAGCUAAGCAUCCGACUCUACGCUGACAGCACAGAGCCUGCUUGGAAUUCUCUGUCUCCCUCUUUCUCUGCCCCUCGCUCACGCUUUCUCUUUCAAAAAUAAAUAAACUUAAACACACACACAGACACACACACACACACACACACACACACACACACACACACACAUUAUCUCAGUCCCUGAAUUUGGAUCAAGGUAUUUUGGAUUACUGUUGCCUCUAGCCACUGGCGGGAAAAGAAAAAGUGAAAUUCUUUCUGGAGAAUUUUAACACUGUUAGGUCACAGAUUAAUUCUAAUUUUGGAAAUGUAAUGUUAGAUAAAAUUUGAAAAGAAAUAACUAGGCACACAAGAGACAAGGUAACAUAUAACAUAAACAAGAACCAGCAGAAACAACAAAUAUUAGGUUCACGAGGACUCUAGCUGUUGGAGUUACCAGCCAGAGACUUAGAAAACUGUGUUAAUAGAUUUAAGAUGAUAAAAGUCAAGAUUUUUAAUUUUGGCAGAGAACUGGAACUAUCAAAGACGUAGUAGAUUUGAAAAAGAGCCAAAAGAUACUGUAAUAUGAAAAAAUAAUAACAAAUACUUAAAACUUAGUGGGUAAAAUAAUGAGAAACAGAGCACAACUGAACAGAGAAUUACCGAACUGAAAGAAAGUUCUGAAAAAAAUAUCCUGAAUAAAACAUGGAGACCCAAAAUGAUGAAAAAUAGUGAUGAGAAGGUAAAAUACAAAGAAGAUGCCACGAGAAUGUCUAAUCUACAUAUAACCGUUAAAGGCGAGUGGAAGGAGUGGAAGAAUGAAUCUCGCAGACAACAGAGAGUGAACAAAGCGAUAAGAGUUUAUCGAGGGAAAGUAUAAAGCUCUCGAGAGUGAGAGAGGUCCUGACUGGGUAGCCGUCAAGGAUUUUUGUCCCUGACCUUAUCAGAGAGUUUGUGAGGCUCCACUCAUGGCGCCUAGCCCAGACAGGUCUGGAAUAUGCUGCUUCUUCAGCCUCCCACUUGAACCUGCAGUCUGCUUCCCUGAGGCUCCCUUAUCUCUCCUCGCCUAAUGUUAACCCUUUCCCUAUUCAUAACCGAAGUUCUGGAAAGCAAGUCCAAAAUGAAUGGGGCAGAAGCUACGUUUGAAAAAACUAAUGGUUAAGAAUUUGCCGAAUCUCAUGAAAGAUAUCAAGCUGCAAAUUCAAGAAUUGUUACAAACUACAUCCAGAAUAGUAAUAGCAGUAAUAGUCCUAAGUGCAUAUCACAAACAAUUUGCUGAAAACCAAUGAUAAGGAAAAUAACUAUAAAAACAGUGAGGGAAUAUCUUUAGGUUGUCUAGCUACCAAUAGUACUAAAAAUGGAGGGGAAAAUUUUUUCUUCUGAUGCCAGAUUAUAAGAAAACCUACAACAAAUGUCAGGCUUAAUGGCGAAAUGUUGCAGUCAUUCCCUUUGAGAUUAGAUCAGGGAUUCCCACACUAUCCCUACCACUUAUAUUCAACAAUGUACUGGAAGUCCUAGCCAAUCCAGUAAAGCAAGAAAAUGAAAAUAAUUGUUAACAGAUCGGAAAGAAAAUUUUAAGUGUCAUUAUUUGAAUGUGAUUGUGUGAAAACCCAAAAAGCUCCACAAAUGAGUUUUUAGAAUUAAUGAGUUUAACAAGUUUGCAUUUCAAGAUCAAAAGACUAAAAUCAAUUGUGUUCUAUAUACCAGGGUAAAAAAAUGAAAGUUAGUUUUGGAAAGAAUACCAUAUAUAUUAGCAUAAAAAUAGCCAGUAUUUUGCAUCAAAUAAAAGGCAUUCAAGAACUAAAAUAGAAAAUAUUAUUGAGGCUAAAAAGUGACCUAAAAUAAAUGUAUGAUGUACCUACCAUUUCAUGGAUUAUAGGAUUCGAAAUCAUAUAGAUAUCUCAAUCCAGCAUGAUCUAUAAAUUCAAUGUACACUGGUGACAUUCCCAGCAACUAUUUUGUGAAAUUUGAGAAGAUGAUUCUAAAGUUUAUGAUGGAAAUUCACAGGGCUGAGAUUUGCCCAAGACGGUAAUUAAGGUAUAUGUGCAAGGAUAGACAAAUAGCCAAGGUCAAAAAAUAAUGCAGAUUACAGGGAGAAGACCCAUACAUAUCAAUACCUGAUUUAUGAAAACAAUUAAAAACACAAGGUAAAGGAAGAACUUCUAGGUAUAUAGUGCUAGGACAAAGAAAUGUGCACGUGCCAAAAAAAAAAAAAAAAGAUUCCUAUCCUAUUACCACAUAAAAUCAGUAUUUCAUUAGCUAUACAUCUCCAUGUAAGGGAUUAUUAAAAUUUUAGGUAAUAUUAGAUAAUAUAUUAGUUAAGAGCAGAAAAAUAAUGUUUUAAGUGUAUUUAUUUUUGAGAGAGAGUCAGCGCAUAUGCGAGGUGGGGAGAGGCAGAGAGAGAGAGAGAAUCCCAAGCAAGCUUUGCACUGUCAGCACAGAGCCCUACAUGGGGCUUGAACCCACAAACUGUGAGAUCGAGACCUGAGCUGAAAUCAAGAGUCCGGUGCUUAACUGGCUGAAACACCUAGGUGCCCCCAGAAAAAUAAUUAUUAAAUAGGAUAUAAAACAAUUUACUAUAAAGGAAAAUAUUGAUAAAUUGGGUAAUACCAAAAUGAAGAACUUAGGUUCAUCAAAAGAUAAUUUUAAGAAAGAGAAAAGACAAGCUUUAAACUGGGAGAAGAUAUUUGCUACACAUAAAGUCAAUAAAGGGCUUGUGUCCAUAAUAUAAAAUGGACUUAUGAAUUAUGAAUCAAAAGUAGAAGGACAAAGCUUUCACAAAGGAGGAUAUCCAAAUUGCCAAUACAAAUGUGAAAAGGGCUCAGCCUCAUUAAUCAGAGAAAGAAAUGCAAAUUAAAACCACAAUGAGAUACCACUACACAUGUAGCAGAAUGGCUAAAAUAUUUUUUUAAAAGAGGAAAAUGGUAGGAAUUGGCAAGGAUGUGGAAUAACUAAAAAUCUCACACACUGCUGAUGGGGUAUAAAUUGGCACAGUCAAUUUGGAAACAGAAACGUGUGCCUGUGCAUCAAGAUAUGUGCAUGAGAUUGUUCAUCGCCGCAUACUUCAUAGCAGUAAAAAACUAGCAUCAGCCAAAAAAUCUAUUAUCAGUAGAAUGAAAAACACAUGAGGAAGGGUGAGGAUGCUAACUGAGGCAUAUAGAGCUGGAGCAGAACAUGAAACUAACCAGAUAGGAUGACAGAUUAGAAGUGGCAUUGACAAAGAGCGUGAAACUUCAGUGAGUGAGGUUCCAAGAUUUCUGAGUUGUGCUGGUCACCAGUAUGGGGGAAAUAGAAGACAGAACAGGUUGAUCUCAUUUUGUUGGUUUAACAAACGUUACUGAGCACCAUUUAUAUCCUAGGCACUCUGUAGGAUCUGGAAAUAAACUGUGAGUAAGAGUGCACAGUCAGCUGAGUCUUCAUUUGAGCUUUACAAUGGCCUUUUGAAACCGGACAGUCAUUUACAUCUGACAGAUGGGCUUUUGUGGCUCUGAAAUGUCCUCCUAGUUGAUGGUGAAUCUGAGACUCAACUCAAGCCUUUUUGCCUCAGCGCUUUUUCUUCAGCCAAAUGAGGAGAGGAUGUGGAUGGGAACUGUGUGAGGCCUCUGAGGAGCACAUUUCCCCACCCCAGAGGUGCCUGUAACAGCCAGAGACUCAAAGCUCAUGAACAAGCUUAUGUUCACUGUAGGCAAGCCAGGGCAGGGUGACCAGCCAGCUCUCCUGUUUCGCAGGCUUCUGUAACAACCAUCAACUUCUCUUAUUGCUCCUCCUGGCCUGGUUCAUUUCAUCCAAGUGUUUUCCAUCAAUUAUUUGGAUGGCUGUUGAGUCGUGGGCACUGAGCAAAUUAUCAGAAACACACACACACACACACACACACAGAGACACAUUGUAUGCCUGCAAGGAACUCUCAAAUUCUAAUCUGUGGAUAAAGGCAGAUCUAUAGGCCAGUGAGAGAAAUGGAGGGUUUGGGGGCUUUGAGAGUCAUAAGAGCAUGACAUAGGAAGCACAGAGGAGGAAGUGAUCAGUUCUGGGAAUUUAACCUUGAAAAGGGGUAGUGUUACUUUCAGGACAACUGAGCAGAUACUCAGGAAAGAUAACAGGUCUAACUAAGCCACAGAGCCACCACAGUCUGUUGUGUUAGAGGAAACUUUCUGAGGUCUUGGUAUUUGCAUGUUUGUAUUAGUAAGCAGCAGCUGAUUAUGUUGAAAUAUAAGGCAAGAUCAAUAUUCUUAAGAAGGUGGAAGUAUGAAGAGGAUAGAAGACAAAUGAGUAUAUGCUUCAAAGGAGGCUUGGUAAAAAAAAAUCAGAGUAAAACCAAAACCCGUACAGGUUUUAUCCUGAAAUGGCAUCAUACAUAGAACGCAAGGGAAGAAAAUUUUUCAAGAAGACAGUAUCCACCUGUGCCAGAUGCUUGAGACUUUAUGUGAGAAGAGAAUAGAGAACUGAUUAUUGAGUUUGGCUGUGUGAAGGUUGUCAGGGUUUACGAAAGUCAUUUCCAAGGAGGAAUAGAGAUAAGGGUGACUUAGAGUGGAUUGAAGAGAGAAUGGGAAGUAAGGAAGUGAAAACAGCUAAUGUGGAAAACUUCUGAGAAGUAUUUUGCAGUUAAGGGAGGUAGAGAAUGGAGUGGUAAUUAGAGAGAGAAGACUA